AAGGCUUGACAUAUACGAGAACGCUGCAGAAAUGUAGAACUCUUUGGACACUCGUAAACAGGUGGUGCAUGGUUGUCGUCAGCUCGUGUCGUGAGAUGUUGGGUUAAGUCCCGCAACGAGCGCAACCCUCGUUCUAUGUUGCCAGCACGUAAUGGUGGGAACUCAUGGGAUACUGCCGGGGUCAACUCGGAGGAAGGUGGGGAUGACGUCAAAUCAUCAUGCCCCUUAUGUCUUGGGCUUCACGCAUGCUACAAUGGCCGGUACAAAGGGCUGCAAUACCGUAAGGUGGAGCGAAUCCCAAAAAGCCGGUCCCAGUUCGGAUUGAGGUCUGCAACUCGACCUCAUGAAGUCGGAGUCGCUAGUAAUCGCAGAUCAGCAACGCUGCGGUGAAUACGUUCCCGGGUC
Molecule: ribosomal RNA, 405 nt
Filed under: uncultured bacterium
Lineage: Bacteria
Description: bacterial SSU rRNA
Rfam family: Bacterial small subunit ribosomal RNA
Source: RNAcentral